This 253-nucleotide ribosomal RNA is filed under the name uncultured bacterium. RNAcentral describes it as "partial 16S ribosomal RNA". It matches the Rfam family "Bacterial small subunit ribosomal RNA", at positions 524 to 776 of the family's 1533-position model. The record is from RNAcentral.
UACGUAGGGGGCUAGCGUUGUCCGGAAUCAUUGGGCGUAAAGCGCGUGUAGGCGGUUCGGUAAGUCCGCUGUGAAAGUCGGGGGCUCAACCCUCGAAUGCCGGUGGAUACUGUCGGACUAGAGUACGGAAGAGGCGAGUGGAAUUCCUGGUGUAGCGGUGAAAUGCGCAGAUAUCAGGAGGAACACCAAUUGCGAAGGCAGCUCGCUGGGACGUUACUGACGCUGAGACGCGAAAGCUAGGGGAGCGAACAGG